This 726-nucleotide long non-coding RNA is filed under the name Mus musculus (house mouse). Its description in RNAcentral is "predicted gene, 36199". The record is from RNAcentral. Lineage: Eukaryota; Metazoa; Chordata; Mammalia; Rodentia; Muridae.
CAAGGUAGAGUUACAGGCGACUGUGACCCUGCAGACUCCGGAGCUGGGAGUGCGGACAUACAUGUCAACUACCUGGAAAUUAUCAAUGACUGCACGUGCCCAGCUCUUCUGGACCCUCUGAUGUUCUGUCACAUGGGAGCAAAUGGAGAGCUGGGACAUCCUUUGACCUCAGCCCUCAAAGGUUAGGAAGCGGGCCCCUCCUCCCUCCAAGAAUUCCUUUUCUCCAAGGGUGAUUAACUACCUCAGCCAUCCUUCCAGGAGGGCCAAAAAAGCUGUUUUGAAUCUGUACCGGCUCAGAAUAAUCAGUUCCUGGUAUUUCCGGCUUUGUGUGAAGCAGGAUUUCCUGUUUCAAGGCGGGCUGGCUCCCCUGUCCUGAUAUUAGGGAGUCUAUGUAAUAGAUUACUAAUCCAUACUGUUUUUGUUUUUCUAUUCAGGAUAAUUAACUUCUUGCUCAAUCCCUCAGCAUUUGACCAAAAUACCAAGAUAAAAAUGUAGGCCCGUGUUAGUACAAAAGGUCCUGCAUUCAACUGUCCUCCUUAUAUUGCCCAAGAAGUCUUGUGGAAUUCCAAGAAGAAUUCAAGGGGCCAGACCUGGAAUAUGCAUCAAUGAGAAUAAGACACUGACGAAGCUAACGACACUAACGGGGAAUGAGGAUAAUCGACUCCUGUCCUUUGUUUUACUCUUUAACCUAGUAAUAAAUCCCUUUAAAGGCCCGUGGUAUUCGGA